This is an RNA transcript of Tribolium castaneum (red flour beetle), 774 nucleotides long. RefSeq lists it as uncharacterized. The transcript is spliced from 3 exons. The record is from RefSeq and is a predicted model, not a curated record. Lineage: Eukaryota; Metazoa; Arthropoda; Insecta; Coleoptera; Tenebrionidae.
CAUAUAACCCUCCAGUGUUGCCACUCUGCGACAUGCAACUUCAUUUUGUAAAUAUUUUGCUGCUCCCGGCACUUCUCCACAUUUGUGACAGUAUUUGACGUUAAAAAGUGUGUCUGUGAUAAAGAAAAAAAUCAGAACUUAUUUUUGUACAAAAAUGUCUCUAUUACGUUUCACAUUUUCGUUUGUGUACUCGUUGGUCGGAGUGUCCGGGUUUGGGGCUUUUAUCAUCCUUAACAAUUAUGCAGCUGCCAUAUUAGCCAUUAUCACAGGUUUUAUUAGUAUUAUUACAAGCCAUAUACAUUUCCUGGACUUUAAAAACAAAUUACCAGACUGGUACACGCCACAACAAUUGCGUCAAAUGAGUUCCUUUGGUAUUUAUUGUUUUGCAAUCAGUACCUCGGCGUUGGUUUACUUUUCUGUUAUUGAGAUAAUGCAAAAAAGGCCAAUUAUGCCAAUCGAAGACAGUGCUGUAAUUCCAAUGAUUUGGUGCUUAAUUACAUUAAAAAGUGGAUUGAUUUUGGCGUACUUUGGGAGGUAUUACAGUCGUCAGAACGAUCACAUAUCCAUAACUGAAGAACCUGCCACACAACCAAAUGAAGAGGCCGAAGAAAUUACACCGUAACAAGAUAUUUUAUUAUAGAUAUGUCCUAAUGCUCAAAUAUUUCAAAUUCUGUUACAGUGCUGUGUUAUUUUUAUAUUUAAUUAGAUAUUAAGGAUGUGUUUUUAUAAAAAUAAUUAAAAAAUAAUAAAAUAAACGACUUCGAAUAGAUCGAA